CCUACGGGUGGCUGCAGUAGGGAAUAUUGGUCAAUGGUCGAGAGACUGAACCAGCCAUGCCGCGUGCAGGAAGACGGCCUUCUGGGUUGUAAACUGCUUUUAACAGAGGGGAAAAAGGUCCUGCGGGACAAAUUGACAGUAUCUGUUGAAUAAGCACCGGCUAACUCCGUGCCAGCAGCCGCGGUAAUACGGAGGGUGCAAGCGUUGUCCGGAUUCAUUGGGUUUAAAGGGUGCGUAGGCGGCUUAGUAAGUCAGUGGUGAAAUCCAACAGCUCA
This 275-nucleotide ribosomal RNA is filed under the name uncultured bacterium. RNAcentral's name for it is "partial 16S ribosomal RNA". It matches the Rfam family "Bacterial small subunit ribosomal RNA", at positions 338 to 611 of the family's 1533-position model. The record is from RNAcentral.